This 312-nucleotide unclassified non-coding RNA is filed under the name plant metagenome. RNAcentral's name for it is "partial contains 5.8S ribosomal RNA, internal transcribed spacer 2, and large subunit ribosomal RNA". The stretch from base 1 to 105 matches the Rfam family "5.8S ribosomal RNA", at positions 50 to 154 of the family's 154-position model. The record is from RNAcentral.
GAAAUGCGAUAAGUAAUGUGAAUUGCGGAAUUCCGUGAAUCAUCGAAUCUUUGAACGCACAUUGCGCCCUCUGGCAUUCCUGGGGGCAUGCCUGUCCGAGCGUCAUUACGCACCCUCAAGCCCGGCUUGUGUGAUGGGCCCUGGCGUCUCGUUCGCGAGACGGGCCCGAAAGGCAGCGGCGGCGUCGACCCGAUGAGCCCGAGCGUAUGGGGACUUUUGUCACACGUUUGCGGUGCGGACCGGCGCCUGCUUGACUUUUCUGAUUAUCCAGGUUGACCUCGGAUCAGGUAGGGAUACCCGCUGAACUUAAGC